Molecule: ribosomal RNA, 150 nt
Filed under: uncultured Actinomycetes bacterium
Lineage: Bacteria; Bacillati; Actinomycetota; Actinomycetes
Description: uncultured actinobacterium partial 16S ribosomal RNA
Rfam family: Bacterial small subunit ribosomal RNA
Source: RNAcentral
UAGGGAAUCUUGCACAAUGGGCGCAAGCCUGAUGCAGCGAUGCCGCGUGAGGGGUGAAGGCCUUUGGGUUGUAAACCUCUUUCGACAGGGAAGAAACCACGGGUCACCGUGGUGACGGUACCUGUAGAAGAAGCCCCGGCUAACUACGUG